This 531-nucleotide ribosomal RNA is filed under the name Halomonas elongata. Its description in RNAcentral is "bacterial SSU rRNA". It matches the Rfam family "Bacterial small subunit ribosomal RNA", at positions 81 to 609 of the family's 1533-position model. The record is from RNAcentral. Lineage: Bacteria; Pseudomonadati; Pseudomonadota; Gammaproteobacteria; Oceanospirillales; Halomonadaceae.
UAGGAGGCGUCGAGCGGCGGACGGGUGAGUAAUGCAUAGGAAUCUGCCCGGUAGUGGGGGAUAACUUGAGGAAACUCAAGCUAAUACCGCAUACGCCCUACGGGGGAAAGCAGGGGCUCUUCGGACCUUGCGCUAUCGGAUGAGCUUAUGUCGGAUUAGCUGGUUGGUGAGGUAACGGCUCACCAAGGCGACGAUCCGUAGCUGGUCUGAGAGGAUGAUCAGCCACAUCGGGACUGAGACACGGCCCGAACUCCUACGGGAGGCAGCAGUGGGGAAUAUUGGACAAUGGGGGCAACCCUGAUCCAGCCAUGCCGCGUGUGUGAAGAAGGCCCUCGGGUUGUAAAGCACUUUCAGCGAGGAAGAAUGCUUGUCGGUUAAUACCCGGCAAGGGAGACAUCACUCGCAGAAGAAGCACCGGCUAACUCCGUGCCAGCAGCCGCGGUAAUACGGAGGGUGCGAGCGUUAAUCGGAAUUACUGGGCGUAAAGCGUGCGUAGGCGGCUUGAUAAGCCGGUUGUGAAAGCCCCGGGCU